This 158-nucleotide ribosomal RNA is filed under the name Escherichia coli. RNAcentral's name for it is "partial 16S ribosomal RNA". It matches the Rfam family "Bacterial small subunit ribosomal RNA", at positions 1 to 152 of the family's 1533-position model. The record is from RNAcentral. Lineage: Bacteria; Pseudomonadati; Pseudomonadota; Gammaproteobacteria; Enterobacterales; Enterobacteriaceae. RNAcentral also lists the same sequence under 17 other names.
AAAUUGAAGAGUUUGAUCAUGGCUCAGAUUGAACGCUGGCGGCAGGCCUAACACAUGCAAGUCGAACGGUAACAGGAAGCAGCUUGCUGCUUUGCUGACGAGUGGCGGACGGGUGAGUAAUGUCUGGGAAACUGCCUGAUGGAGGGGGAUAACUACUG